This 439-nucleotide ribosomal RNA is filed under the name uncultured bacterium. Its description in RNAcentral is "partial 16S ribosomal RNA". It matches the Rfam family "Bacterial small subunit ribosomal RNA", at positions 339 to 795 of the family's 1533-position model. The record is from RNAcentral.
CUACGGGGUGCUCCAGUGGGGAAUAUUGCACAAUGGAGGAAACUCUGGUGCAGCAACGCCGCGUGGAGGAUGACACUUUUCGGAGCGUAAACUCCUUUUAUAUAGGAAGAUAAUGACGGUACUAUAUGAAUAAGCACCGGCUAACUCCGUGCCAGCAGCCGCGGUAAUACGGAGGGUGCAAGCGUUACUCGGAAUCACUGGGCGUAAAGAGCGUGUAGGCGGGUUAAUAAGUCAGAAGUGAAAUCCAAUGGCUCAACCAUUGAACUGCUUUUGAAACUGUUAACCUAGAAUAUGGGAGAGGUAGAUGGAAUUUCUGGUGUAGGGGUAAAAUCCGUAGAGAUCAGAAGGAAUACCGAUUGCGAAGGCGAUCUACUGGAACAUUAUUGACGCUGAGACGCGAAAGCGUGGGGAGCAAACAGGAUUAGAUACCCCCGUAGUC